UCCAGCCUCCGGCUCACAGCGUCCCCGGGGCAACAGCGAUGGCGGCCGCGCUGUCCGAGCGGCUUUUCUCGCUGGAGCUGCUCGUAGACUGGGUGCGCCUUGAAGCCGGGCUGCCGCCGCCGCCCGUGGUCGCGGCGGAGGAGCAGGAGGAGGAGGAGGAGGCGUCGCCGCCGCGGUCCUCGCGCGGCCUGUGCCCCGCCGUGGCCUUCCGCCUGCUGGACUUCCCCACGCUGCUGGUUUACCCUCCCGGCGGCCCCGCCGCCCCCGCCCCGGAACUUCGGCCGGGCCUGGUCAGCUUCGGUCGCGGCAAGUCCUGUCUCUUCCGCCUGCAUCCCGCCACCCUGCACCGCCUGCUCCUUCGGACUCCGCUUUACACCUUGCUGCUGCAGCUGCCCCCCGGGCGCCCGACCCCUGCCCCGCAGCUCCUGGGGGCCUGCAGCAUCUCUCUGGCCGCCGCGGCCCACAAGGUCCUGGGGCCCGCCGCCUCCGGCUGCUCCCAGGGUCAUCGGGGAAGUUUCCCUCUGCAAAACCAAGCGGGGGAGCGGAUUGGGCACAUUGCCCUGCGCUACCGCCUGACUGACCUGGGAAGCAGCUUGCUGGGCCAUCUGGAGAGGCCAGUCGCUUCCACAGGAGGUGGAGUGGAGGUCAGUCCCCAAACCUUGCAGGAAAACCAGCAGCUGCGGCAGCCAGACUCAGAGCCAAGCCCAAGAGAUGCUGAUAAGCCUCUGGUGGAUGUAAAAAUCUCAACGGCAGGGAAGGAUUUGAAGGAGGGAGUCUUCCACAGCAAGGCCAACUCUGAUUACACGGCUUCUCUGGAGAAUGGCAAAACCAACUGCGUUAUUUGUUCAAAGGGUAGCAGUGAGAGGAGUGUCAGCCCCCAAAAUCAGGAAGUCACAGAGUUAGACAUUGAAACCAACAUAAUUUGCCCUCCUCCUCUGUAUUACACUCAUGUGACCCAAGAAAAGACACCUCCUAAACAGGGUGAAAUCACUAUUGAGCCUCAAAUGAACGCACGUGAGGAAUUGGAUGGUACUUUUCCGGAAGAAAAACUUGUAAAUCCCCCAACACAUACUAAUCUUCCAGAACAUACAAAUUUUGCAACACGUGAGAGGCCUCCAGUGCUUACACAUCCUGCACAUAUUCAGGAUGUAGGAGCAAGCAACCAAACUAUUUACCAUCCUCAAACUGAACAAAAUAGGAUCAAUACUGUAAGGCAGCUGCCUUUGUUAAGUGCUUUGUUGGUUGAGUUGUCCUUGUUAUACAACCAACCCAUGGCAAGCCCUACUCAUAUACAUCCUCAUUUAGCCCGGUUAUAUAGAACUGAGGACGAGAAGUCACCAGAAUCUUCUGCCAAAUCCACAUGUAAAUCUGAAUCUAAGGAUAAGCUUUCUCUGGGGGAAAAUGAAAAGUCAGUGAGUCUUCAGUAUAAAAAGAACCAAACUGAAAAUCAUAAGAAAGGUAAAUAUUUUGAAAAGAAAGGUGGUGUCCCCCCCAAAAGAGUUCCAAGGGGGAAGCUACUUUAUGGCUUAACAAACACACUUAAGCUACGUUUAAAGCAAACAAAUCCUGAUAUGUUGAUAGUACACGAAAAGAGAGAACAGUAUAGAAAAAUGCAAGCACAAAUGUUAGGUGCAAAACUCAGAAUUCCAUCAUCCAAAGUUAAGAUACUAAGUUUUGCAGAACAACCUCAGAAGCCACAUCAACUGCCUAAAGAUAAGUUUUUAGACUCAGAUGCAUCUUUUGCUGAAAAUAGCAAUACCUCAAAGCAAAUUAGUGUAGUUUUUGAUGACCCCAGCACAACUAAAGAAACUAAACUGAAAUGUGCAACUGAAAAGACAGUUGAUGAUUUAUUGGAAGAAAUUGUGAGUCCUGCACAUUCCAUUGUCUCAGAAAGGUUUAUUCAUACAAAUAUUUUGGGUGGAAGAGUGGAAGUGAAAGUCCAAAGUCCAGGUGAUUUCCAACGGGUCGCAGUAGGUGACAGAAUUGUAGAAGAUAAAGAAAUAGAUGAUAAACAGGUCAAAAUCACUUCUAAUGACAUUCUUACUGCUGAUAUGAAUGAAAAUAAUCCAAGUACAAGUAGUUGCUCUGAAAGCAUCUCAGAACUAAAGUAUACAGAUGACUUCACCAGUCCUUGCUGUUCUGAAGACACCAGCAGAAUUUUACAAGCUCGUGAUAGCAGUCCGGGGACAGAAAAUCCAAAACAUAGUCAACAGACAAGUGAGUCCAGUGAAACAAGGUUGUCCAUAAGGAAAAAUAGCAGUGAAAAGAGUUCUCUUCUUAGCCCACCUUUUUCAGCUGGAUCCCCAGUACUCUCAUAUAAAAGAUUUCAUAUUUCAAAGGCUCAAGAUAAAAGUUUGGAGGAAGUGUCUACUAUCUCUAGCAGUGAUUUCUCUUCAUCACACUGGACUGAGGAAAAAGAAAACCAGAGAGACCAAAAUAGUAUGCAUAAUUCUAAAGUUCUAAAGAGGCAUCAAGACAUCCCUACUAAACGUAAAACAAGAACAGGUUGCAAGUCCUCAGAAAAAAGCCAGUCACCUUGGACAUCUCAAGAUUCUACCAUUAAAUCUGACAAGAUUGAUCAUGGGAUCACCUUAUAACCCAGACUUUUCACAGGUGACAAAUCUUGAGUCAGACUCCUGUGGUAUGGAAGGCUGAAUCAGGAAGCAGAGUCAAGCAAUGGUAGAUGCCCAUGGAUUCCUCCAUUGCGUCUCUGGUCCCAUCGGGUGAAGAAACUCGAGAUCCAUGGAGGUGACAGGGCCGGCCAAGGUGACACAGGAGCCCAAAGUAGAGGUUGAACAGUCAGCGAGGUCCGUGACAGGAGAGGGAAAUGUGGAUAUACUGCCCAAGGAGAACCCAGUUAAUACAUGGUAUAAAUUCUUUACAUGAUUUUUUAAAAAACCAGACUCCCUGGUUGCAACUUAAUCAGGAAUGUAUUGUGCACGCUGGGACGCUGAAGGUCAAGGCUGUGGAACUGCACUCCAGACAUCGCUGAUCCUGCCUCCUAAAGUACAGCCAAACCGAGGACGGUGUCACCGUGCAGAGGGAAGCCCAUUCCUGCCUCGGGGAAGGAAUGGGCUUCACUAACUUUCUCUAUAAUCAGUGUGGACCAACAGCAGACUAAAUGCUUUUAGUUCAAGGGGAGAAAUAUAAAGCAAGUGACCUUUGAUAUAUGGAAAUGCAGAAGGAAGAUCCCAGGAUCAAUCAUUCAAAACCACAGGUAGAUAGUGACCUAUUUUCUCUGUUCUAAGAGGAGCUGAGGACGGCACCCACCCCCUAAGCCUCUGGGAUGAGGGCGGCAUGACUUGAUAUACAUCAAAGUGCAUAGGGCAGUGCUGGGCAUAUGGUAAACGCUAAAUUUGUUAGCUGUCCUUGUCCUUAGGUUCCCUUAAAGAUAUGGGCACCCAGUUUGAGAAGCAUGGUGGUAGAAAAGUCUUCUAAAAGCACAAGUCUCCCCCAGGAUCCAGCAGCUCCAUGAUCGUACCUGUAGGAGAAUGAGAUCAAGCUAGACACACGGAACAUGUCUUCCUAUAACACCCAGCCCUUGAUCGCAUAAACAGUGCUCACCAUACAGCCGAGGAGGUGAAGUGAUUCACAGGUGUUCGUGUAAAAUGGCACAGUGCUGGAUCCUAGUGUGGAUUGUCAAGAAGAGGCGAGACCAAUAUAAAUAGACAGAAUACAUCCCAUGGGAAGAGUGAUGCAGCUAAAAGUGUGAUGUUGCAAAAUGAUCACAGGUUUUUAAUUUUAUUUGUAACAAUGUUACAUUUAAUUAAAUAUAUAAUUUAUAAAAAUCACUGGGAGGCCAGAUCUGAGUGAUACAUAAAAAGGAGAACAAAAUAUACCGUUUUUCAUGUGAAAGGCCAUCCUUUUCAAUGCCUCACAUCAGUUUAACAACCCCACGCUCCCUGGCCUCCAUUUUCUGGCUGAUCCUUCAUCCCGAUCUACAGACCAGAGAUUCAGCGAGGAAUGAAGAAACUUCACCCUUUUGUAAAAGCCCGUAA
Molecule: RNA transcript, 3998 nt
Organism: Balaenoptera ricei (Rice's whale)
Lineage: Eukaryota; Metazoa; Chordata; Mammalia; Artiodactyla; Balaenopteridae
Gene: NTPCR
Gene name: nucleoside-triphosphatase, cancer-related
Exons: 4
Source: RefSeq, a predicted model, not a curated record